Molecule: long non-coding RNA, 421 nt
Organism: Dreissena polymorpha
Lineage: Eukaryota; Metazoa; Mollusca; Bivalvia; Myida; Dreissenidae
Exons: 3
Source: RefSeq, a predicted model, not a curated record
AGCGCACAAGUGAAGGCAAAAUGAUGCUAGGUUUACGUAUUGAUGUACUUAACAUGUACGCAAAAUGAAAAUCAAUGCAAGUCACACUAUUUACAUGGGAGAGAACCCAACAAAGUAUCACAUGUAGUCUUUAUGCAAGGUCCCGGCUGUGUCCAAUGUUGCUUUUCAAGGUUCUAAACAUGCGUUCAGGGCGAUACUGAUCUUCUGAAAUGUUAAACCAAGGCACUGGUGUCGUUUAGGGGGCUCCAUCCAGCAAUCACUUUAAUGAUGGAUUCGGGACACCCUUUAUGACCAAGGACCUGGGUCUUGCGCAGUGCCGGCAGUGCAGUCACCGACACCAAAUGGGUCUCUUUCUCAUCAGAUUUACAGCAUCAUGACUUAUCACGGGUUUGUUGGAAAAGACUUCUCAUCUGCUUUUAAA